Molecule: ribosomal RNA, 253 nt
Filed under: uncultured bacterium
Lineage: Bacteria
Description: partial 16S ribosomal RNA
Rfam family: Bacterial small subunit ribosomal RNA
Source: RNAcentral
UACGUAGGGUGCAAGCGUUGCCCGGAAUUAUUGGGCGUAAAGAGCUUGUAGGCGGUUUGUCGCGUCUGCUGUGAAAUUUCGGGGCUCAACCCCGAACUUGCAGUGGGUACGGGCAGACUAGAGUGUGGUAGGGGAGACUGGAAUUCCUGGUGUAGCGGUGAAAUGCGCAGAUAUCAGGAGGAACACCGAUGGCGAAGGCAGGUCUCUGGGCCAUAACUGACGCUGAGAAGCGAAAGCAUGGGGAGCGAACAGG